This 301-nucleotide ribosomal RNA is filed under the name uncultured bacterium. RNAcentral describes it as "partial 16S ribosomal RNA". It matches the Rfam family "Bacterial small subunit ribosomal RNA", at positions 512 to 808 of the family's 1533-position model. The record is from RNAcentral.
CAGUCCCGCGGUAAUACAGAGGGUGCAAGCGUUAAUCGGAUUUACUGGGCGUAAAGCGUGCGUAGGUGGCUGUUUAAGUCGGAUGUGAAAGCCCUGGGCUUAACCUGGGAACUGCAUUCGAUACUGGAUAGCUAGAGAUCGGUAGAGGGCAGCGGAAUUCCGGGUGUAGCGGUGAAAUGCGUAGAUAUCCGGAGGAACACCGAUGGCGAAGGCAACUGCCUGGGCCUGAUCUGACACUGAGGCACGAAAGCGUGGGUAGCAAACAGGAUUAGAUACCCCCGUAGUCCCUGUCUAUUAUACA